GACGAACGCUGGCGGCGUGCUUAACACAUGCAAGUCGAACGGAAAGGCCCUGCUUUUGUGGGGUGCUCGAGUGGCGAACGGGUGAGUAACACGUGAGUAACAUGCCCUUGACUUUGGGAUAACUUCAGGAAACUGGGGCUAAUACCGGAUAGGAGCUCCUGCUGCAUGGUGGGGGUUGGAAAGUUUCGGCGGUUGGGGAUGGACUCGCGGCUUAUCAGCUUGUUGGUGGGGUAGUGGCUUACCAAGGCUUUGACGGGUAGCCGGCCUGAGAGGUUGACCGGCCACAUUGGGACUGAGAUACGGCCCAGUCUCCUACGUGAGGCAGCAGUGGGGAAUAUUGCACAAUGGGCGGAAGCCUGAUGCAGCAACGCCGCGUGCGGGAUGACGGCCUUCGGGGUGUAAACCGCUUUCGCCUGUGACGAAGCGUGAGUGACGGUAAUGGGUAAAGAAGCACCGGCUAACUACGUG
This 468-nucleotide ribosomal RNA is filed under the name uncultured bacterium. Its description in RNAcentral is "partial 16S ribosomal RNA". It matches the Rfam family "Bacterial small subunit ribosomal RNA", at positions 28 to 507 of the family's 1533-position model. The record is from RNAcentral.